GAGAUUGAAGUGCUUUGGUGUGUUUCUUGAAGAUUUUGAGAAGAAAGAAGAGUAUAUCAAGAAGAGAAGAAGGAGGCCAAGCAUCCUAGUGUUAUCUUAGUGAUUUUCUUGAGGUAUAACUUGGUUUCCCUUUGUUUUCAUGCUUAUAGUCCCUUAUAGCUCCAUGAAAGUCCUUCUUGAGCCUUUCCCCAAGCUUAAUUGUGUAUUAGGGUUUGUAAUAAGUUGUUUAGCCUCUAGAUCUAGGCAUGAUUGAGCUCCAGGAGCUUGGAUCUACUGCCUUUAUGGAGCCAUAUUGCAUGAAAGCCCUAGAUCUACCCUUUUAGUGCAUUUUGAGCCCUAAAACCUUCUUUGGUGAUUAUUUACACGUAAAGUUGGAAACUUUACGUGUUAUUCAUGCCCUAGAAACCCAGAUCUAUGAAUGGCAUGAGCUGGAUUCAAGCAAAAUCGAGUAUAUAGUAUUUGCAUGUGACAGACUCGGCGAGUCGUUCAUCGGACUCGGCGAGUCGAGUCGCGAGUCACCGAGUUUUCCCCCUUUUCGCGUUUGCGGGGUGGAGUAGUGAGUCAUGGGGUGUGACUCAGUGGGUCGGAAGCCAGACUCACUCAUGAAGGAACUCGACGAGUCGAUGCCCUGACUCGGCGAGUUCAAGGCAAUCUUCUUGCCUCAAGAACAGACUCGGCGAGUUGCUCAUACAGCUCGGCGAGUCUCAGCAUAGAGUGUUCUUCGGAUGAAGAUGAACUCGGCGAGUUGUUCAUACAACUCGGCGAGUAGGAUGAAGGACUAUUGGCCUUUGGUUUAGAAGGAAAACUCGUCGAGUCAAUGCCUAACUCGACGAGUAGAGACGGGUUUAUGGUCAGACAAAGGGAUAGGGACUCGGCGAGUUGGCAAGCCAACUCGGCGAGUCGGGUCAACUGGCAGUUGACUUUGACUUUGACUUUGACUCUUGGUUUGGUUAGGGGUAAAUGGUCAUUUUACCCUGAGGACGGUUAGCAGUAUUUGACUAAGUGUUUUGUGGGAAUUAUUAGCCGGAGGAUUUCCGGAGCAGCAGCAGUAGAAGACAGUCAGUUCCCACACCGAUCAGCAGCUACUUUGAGGUGAGUUACCUUCCAUUAGCGGUGGGUCUACGACCACAAUGUCGGCCCACCAGUAGGAUUUGUAUGUUAGAUGAUUGUUUUUGUGAUAUCAUAUAGGUUUGCUACUACCGGAUAUGUUUGUAUGCUGGUAUGAUAUGUAUAUGUGAUAAUUGUAGAGUUCGGUUGUUAGGGCCGAAGGGUAGGUCAGACACCCUAGAUAUGCAUGACAGUAUGCGAUGUUAUGUUUAUAUGCUGGCAUGAUGUGUUAUAUGUGAUAGUGGUAGUAAGAGGGGAAUAGUCCCCAAGUUCGGUCGUUAGGACCGAUGGGUAGUCAGUACCCCAGAAUGGCCUUACAUGGGUAGUCAGCACCCCAUAACGGCUUGACACGGGUAGGUCGACACCCCAGAAUGGCCGUACCGGGUAGGUCGGGCACCCCAGAAUUUCCCGGCAGUGUGUAUGAUAUAUAAUUGUAUGGUAUGUGGUAAGAUGGGGGAACUCACUAAGCUUCAUGCUUACAGUUUUCAGUUUUGGUUUCAGGUACCUUUUCUUCGAAGGGGAAGGAGCCGGCACGGUAGCGGUACAUCACACACACGCUUUGUAUUCCGCACUAUGGAAUCCUCCUGGGGUUUUGUACUCUGAUAGUAGUAUGUUUCACGAAAUGGUUUCCAGACAAACAACAUCUUUUAUGAAAUUUCAUGAUCCAUGAAUGUUUAUUUAUAAUGUUUUGCAAAUGGUAUGUUUUAAAAAUGAAAUUUUUGGCUGGUAUUUUUGGGACGUUACAAGUUGGUAUCAGAGCCCUGGUUUGAGGGAUUCAGACACACCUUCGGGGGUGUCUGAACUCAAAUCGAGGGAUUAAAAGAUUUUAAAGAAUAAAAUAUUUUCUAAAAAGAUAAGUAAAGAGUUUUAAGAAGGAGCGAAGUGUGUGAUAUGCGCGACCGGCCAAGCUUAAGUAAGUAUUCCCCAAAGUACCCAUACAAGUUUAUGUUAUGUUUAUUAGUUUCAGUAGAACAGCAUGCUAGACUAGGACUAAGGAUCUAGGAGUGAUGCCUUAUGUGUCUGCUUUAUGUGCUUCAGUGUAUGAAAACUGCAUGCUAAAAUUGAGUAGACAACAGUAGGAUAGCCUGUUUAGGUUAUACAUGAUAGUAUGAGUUUAGCAUUGUAUGCUAGUCGGUUUCUCUUUAUGAGGACGGAUUUGCUUGAGAUUGUUUCCUGUGGUCUGAAUGCUGCUUGCUUUAUGCUUCGUGGGACUCUGAGUGAUGGGAUUUAGACAUUAGGUGAAUAUGUCACGUCACAUGUGAUCAGGGUUGGAUAAUCUUAGAGUGCUAGAUUUGGCUCUAUUGCGUAGCUCUUGUCUGAGUCUAACCGUUGUAGAGCCGAGUCUGUUACUCAAAUGAUUAUCUGAGCCUCACCACAUGUGAUGGUAUUCAGGUAAUGGCUAACUGGCAUUACAAGGAGGCCUUCAGCAGCUGAGGACCGGGUAGAGUGGAGUUAUAGAUUUCUUAGGGCAAGCCUAGGAUGAGUAUAGCAGUGAUCACCGAUAGUGAAAGGGACCUGGUGGAGUCAAGGCAGUCCUUGGAGAAGGUACGGAUAGAUGUGGAAGGUAGUAUAGGCCCGUACUACUGAAAUCAUAGGAUCCGUACCCGAACCGAGGAGGCCCAAGAUAAGACCAAGUAACUUGUAGUAGGUGUGAUACCUCCAGAGGUGUCAGUAUCGCUAACGGUUAUUAUUUAUGUAUUUCAGAAUGGUGGUACUACGUUCGAGGCUAGCAGUUGGCAGUACAGGAGAGGGAUCGGGUUCGGGAUCAGGUUCCGAGCCAGUAAAUGAGGGGUUACGCGAGUUCAUCGCGUCAUAGAUGACCAGAGGCAUCCUUGAGUCGACCCCCAUUAUCUUCGGGUCGAUCAAGGAAGGGAUAGUGGAGUUGAUGGAAGAUCACCUCAUGGCAUUCAGGAGCGACAUGGCAUCUGGCCAGUCAGGAUCUCGCANUUCAGGAGCGACAUGGCAUCUAGCCAGUUGGGAUCUCGCACACUGUCCUUCAAGGACUUCAGGGGCAGUGGUGCGCCGGAUUUUCUCAGGGCAAAGGACCCCAUAGCUGCCAGGGGAUGGAUUGCAGAUGUUGAGUCUGCACAAAUGAUUAGCUUCUGCCCUAAGGGGUCGAAGGUGAGGUUUGCAGAAGGGUGUUUACGAGAUCAAGCUAGGGAUUGGUGGGAGUCCGUGGGUGACUCGUUGGGAGCCUCGGNNNNNNNNNNNNNNNNNNNNNNNNNNNNNNNNNNNNNNNNNNNNNNNNNNNNNNNNNNNNNNNNNNNNNNNNNNNNNNNNNNNNNNNNNNNNNNNNNNNNNNNNNNNNNNNNNNNNNNNNNNNNNNNNNNNNNNNNNNNNNNNNNNNNNNNNNNNNNNNNNNNNNNNNNNNNNNNNNNNNNNNNNNNNNNNNNNNNNNNNNNNNNNNNNNNNNNNNNNNNNNNNNNNNNNNNNNNNNNNNNNNNNNNNNNNNNNNNNNNNNNNNNNNNNNNNNNNNNNNNNNNNNNNNNNNNNNNNNNNNNNNNNNNNNNNNNNNNNNNNNNNNNNAGGACCGAGCCGCUGCAAGAAAUGCGGCAGGCCUCAUGAGGGGGCAUGUAGGUUGGGAUCGUCGGGCUGCUAUAAGUGCGACAAGACGGGGCAUUUCAGCAGGGAUUGUACCACCCAUACACCUGUGAUUCAGACAUCAUAGUUGCUGUGUUUUCACUACAACCAGAGGGGCCACAAGAAGGCCAGUUGCCCCCAGUUGACAGGAUCAGCGCCAGUUAAGGCGCCGACUCCAGCUACCCUGUGGAUCACAGAUGGCCGGCAGGGCAAGGCAGAGGCUCUAGUGGUGAGGAGCCGGGCAUUUCAGCUGACGACAGAGGAGGCACGCGCCGCACCCGAUGUGGUGACAGGUAUGAUUCUUUCCCUCUACUUUAUUUUUAUGAUGUUAUGAUAUUGAUAUGUGCUCUGUGUAUAUGCAUUAGGAUCGUUCCAUGUGAACGGUAUUCCUGUUCAGGUGUUGUUUGACUCGGGUGCCACCCGAUCAUUUGUUUCCCUUGCGCUUAGCAAGAGGUUUGUUGAGACUUCGGGCAUGUUGGAUUGCCCUUUAGAGGUAGAGAUUUCCGAUGAUCGAUCGGUGCGAUCAUCAGCAGUAUUCAGGGAUUGUGUGCUAAGAUUAUUUGAGGAGCGCUAUUUGGUGGAUUUGGAUCUCAUCCCGUUGCGGGGGAACAAGGUGAUUAUAGGCAUGGAUUGGUUGAGCCCUAAUGGGGCGGUGAUAGAUUGCGCGCAGCAGCUAGUGCGGAUCAGGACCCCGAGUGGGGGAGAGUUGGUGAUCCACGGCGAGAGGCCACAGCGUGGACCUGCAGUAUGUUCAGCAGCGAGAGCUAGGCACUACCUUCAGCAGGUAUGCGCGGGAUAUGUCGCGUAUGUUAUGGAUAGCUGGGAGACGGGUAAGGCUACGGUGAGCGCGGUUCCAGUGGUGCGAGACUACGCUGAUGUGUUCCCGGAGGAGCUUCCUGGAAUACCUCCAAAACGUCAAGUAGAGUUCAGGAUCGACCUAGUUCCUGGUGCGGCUCCGAUAGCCAAGGCACCCUAUCGGUUGGCUCCUCCCGAGAUGCAAGAGUUGUCUACGCAGCUGCAGGAGCUGCUAGACAAGGGAUUUAUUCGACCGAGCAGUUCACCCUGGGGAGCCCCGAUCCUGUUUUUAAGAAGAAGGACAGGUCGCAUCGGAUGUGCAUAGAUUACCGAGAGCUGAAUAAGGUAACGGUGAAGAACCGUUACCCACUCCCGAGGAUUGGUGACCUCUUUGAUCAGUUACAGGGAGCAUCUUGCUUCUCCAAGAUCGAUUUGCAUUCAGGUUAUCAUCAAAUGAGGGUCAGAGAGGAGGAUGUACAGAAGACCGCGUUCCGGACGCGUUAUGACCAUUAUGAGUUCGUGGUGAUGCCGUUUGGGCUCACCAAUGCUCCUGUCGCGUUCAUGGACCUCAUGAACCGCGUGUGUAGACCGAUGCUGGAUCAAUCGGUGAUAGUUUUCAUUGAUGACAUCUUGGUUUAUUCCAAGACGCAGGAGGAGCAUGAGGAGCAUCUUAGAGAGGUUUUGGAGAUCUUGAGGAGGGAGAGCUUGUACGCCAAGUUCUCCAAAUGUGAGUUUUGGUUGCACGAGGUGCAGUAUAUUGGGCACCUCGUCAACCAGAAUGGGAUUUCAGUAGACCCGGCCAAGGUGGAGGCCGUGCUGAGAUGGGAGGUUCCUAACUCUCCAUCCGAUAUUCGGAGUUUCCUAGGAUUAGCAGGUUACUAUCGGAGAUUCAUUCAGGAUUUCUCCAAUAUAGUUGUACCCCUAACACGGUUGAGUAGGAAAGCCGUGGUCUUUCGAUGGGGGCCUGAGCAGCAGGCAGCGUUCGAGAUUCUGAGGCAGAGAUUGUUCGAGGCGCCAAUCUUAGCCCUACCCGAGGGCGUCGAGGAUUUUGUGGUGUACUGUGAUGCGUUGAUCUCAGGCUUAGGCGCAGUAUUGAUGCAGAGGGGGCAUGUCAUUGCUUAUGCCUCGAGGCAGCUGAAGCCUCACGAGGCAAACUACCCGACACAUGAUUUAGAGUUGGGGGCGGUGGUUUUCGCCCUCAAGAUUUGGCGGCAUUACCUCUACGGGGUUCGAUGUAACAUUUUCACGGACCACAAGAGUUUGAGGUACCUCAUGGAUCAGUCGAAUCUGAACAUGAGGCAGCGUCGGUGGUUGGACGUGGUGAAGGAUUAUGAUUGCGAGAUCCUUUAUCACCCGAGGAAGGCCAAUGUGGUGGCCGAUGCGCUUAGCGGCAAGGCGGCACCGAUCAGGGAUAUUUGCAUGAGGAUGACUAUGGUGACUCCCCNUAUGAAGGAGGAACGUCGGAAGAGUGAGCGAAUAGUGGGUCAAGUCCCCUCCUUCGAUUAUGAUAGCCGAGGGUUAUUGACACUACACUGCAGGGUGUGGGUGCCGUAUCACAGAGGUGUGCGUCAUAUCUUGAUGGAGGAGGCGCACACAUCCCAAUUCUCUAUUCACCUAGGGGCGACGAAGAUGUAUCCGGAUCUUCGCCUAGACUACUGGUGGCCGUGCAUGAAGCGGGAUGUAGCGUGGUACGUCGAGCGGUGUUUGACCUGCAGGAAGGUCAAGGUCAAGGCCCAUUUUAUUCCGAUUCAGGAGAGUAUCUUGGUUGAAAAGUUGGCCGAUAUCUAUAUCAGCGAGAUAGUGGCGCGGCACGGGGUGCCAGUGUCAGUGAUAUCCGAUCGAGAUGUGCGGUUCACUUCUAGGUUUUGGAAGAAGUUUCAUGAUGAGUUGGGCACUCGUCUGCAUUUUAGCACCGCCUUUCACCCGCAGACGGAUGGUCAGAGUGAGCAGACCAUCCAAAAUUUGGAGGAUAUGUUGCGGGCAUGCGUGCUAGACUUUGGUGGUAGUUGGGAUACCUAUCUUCCCUUGGCUGAGUUCUCGUACAACAACAACUACCACGCGAGUAUUGAUCAUCCUCCAUUCGAGAUGUUGUACGGUCGGAGGUGCAGGACCUCGAUAUGUUGGAGUGAAGUUGGCCAGAGGGUCCUGGGGAGCAUCGAUGUAGUGCUCAAGACGACCGAGAGGAUCCAGCAAGUUCGAAGCAGGCUUCAGAUUGCGCAGAGUCGGCAGAAAAGUUACGUCGACAAGCGUCGUUCAGACCUGGAGUUUCAGGUCGGGGAUAUGGUUCUCCUGAAGGUGUCGCCAUGGAAAGGUGUCAUUCGAUUCAGGAAGUAGGGCAAGUUGGGCCCGAGAUACAUUGGUCCAUUCAGGGUUGUAGCCCGGGUGGGAAAGGUAGCAUAUAGGCUGGAUCUGCCAGCCGAGCUCAGUCAGAUCCAUAGCACUUUUUAUGUCUCCCAGCUGCGGAAGUGCCUAGUGGAUGAUUCAGCGGUGGUGCCGCUAGAGGAUAUACAGGUUGAUGACAACCUGAAUUACAUUGAGCGCCCAAUUGCAAUCCUCGACCGGAAGUCGAAGGAUCUGAGGAACAAGAGGGUGGAAUUAGUGAAGGUGCAAUGGUAGCACCGAAAGGGUUCGGAAUGGACUUGGGAGCCGGUGGAAGAAAUGAUGGAGCAUUACCCCGAGCUGUUUCAGGAUCGAGCAGCAGACUUUGAGGACGAAGUCUAAAAUAAGUGGGGGAGAUUUGUAGCACCUGGUUCCUGGUACGUAAAAUUUAUCUAAGUAUUUUACGUUUUUAGCCUUGGACUCGGCGAGUUGUAGGCCCGACUCGCCGAGUAGAGACGGGUUUGGGAGCACGUUUAAGUUGGCGACUCGGCGAGUCCACAUUCUGGACUCGGCGAGUCCCCGCUGUCUGAUGAAACCCUAAAUUCCAAGGGUUUGCACCCUAUUUAAACCAACCUUAUGCGCCCCAACCUCGCCCCCUUCACCCUCAGAGCUCCCAACAUCGUUCAAACCCUUAUUCCUUGUGAGAUUGAAGUGCUUUGGUGUGUUUCUUGAAGAUUUUGAGAAGAAAGAAGAGUAGAUCAAGAAGAGAAGAAGGAGGCCAGGCAUCCUUGUGUUAUCUCAGUGAUUUCCUUGAGGUAUAACUCGGUUUCCCUCUGUUUUCAUGCUUAUAGUCCCUUAUAGCUCCAUGAAAGUCCUUCUUGAGCCUUUCCCCAAGCUUGAUUGUGUAUUAGGGUUUGUAAUAAGUUGUUUAGCCUCUAGAUCUAGGCAUGAUUGAGCUCCAGGAGCUUGGAUCUACUGCCUUUAUGGAGCCAUAUUGCAUGAAAGCCCUAGAUCUACCCUUUUAGUGCAUUUUGAGCCCUAAAACCUUCUUUGGUGAUUAUUUACAUGUAAAGUUGGAAACUUUACGUGUUAUUCAUGCCCUAGAAACCCAGAUCUAUGAAUGGCAUGAGCUGGAUUCAAGCAAAAUC
This 7949-nucleotide long non-coding RNA is filed under the name Lactuca sativa (garden lettuce). RNAcentral's name for it is "long non-coding RNA (LSAT_LNC006091)". The record is from RNAcentral. Lineage: Eukaryota; Viridiplantae; Streptophyta; Magnoliopsida; Asterales; Asteraceae.